GACGAACGCUGGCGGCGUGCUUAACACAUGCAAGUCGAACGCGCCUGUCCUCUGGGUUUCUGGGGGGUGGGUGAGUGGCGAACGGGUGAGUAACACGUGAGUAACCUGCCCCCUUCUUCGGGAUAACGGUCUGAAAGGGCUGCUAAUACCGGGUAUUCACUGGUCUCCGCAUGGGGUCUGGUGGAAAGGUUUUUUUCUGGUGGGGGAUGGGCUCGCGGCCUAUCAGCUUGUUGGUGGGGUGAUGGCCCACCAAGGCUUUGACGGGUAGCCGGCCUGAGAGGGUGACCGGUCACAUUGGGACUGAGAUACGGCCCAGACUCCUACGGGAGGCAGCAGUGGGGAAUAUUGCGCAAUGGGCGCAAGCCUGAUGCAGCGACGCCGCGUGAGGGAUGGAGGCCUUCGGGUUGUGAACCUCUUUCGCCCGUGGUCAAGCCGCGACGUGGGUCGUGGUGAGGGUAGUGGGUAAAGAAGCGCCGGCUAACUACGUG
This 488-nucleotide ribosomal RNA is filed under the name uncultured bacterium. RNAcentral describes it as "partial 16S ribosomal RNA". It matches the Rfam family "Bacterial small subunit ribosomal RNA", at positions 28 to 507 of the family's 1533-position model. The record is from RNAcentral.